CAUCUAAGUACCCGGAGGAGAAGAAAACAAUAGUGAUUGCGCUAGUAGUGGCGAGCGAACGCGCAUUAGCCCAAACCAUGUAGCUUACGGGCUGCAUGGGGUUGUAGGACCACGACAUUGGUUGUGUAAUGAACUAGAACGCUUUGGAAAGAGCGGCCAUAGACGGUGAUAGCCCGGUAUAGGUAAAGAUCAUAAACCAUAGUGGUAUCCUGAGUAGUGCGGGGCACGAGAAACCCUGUAUGAAUUUGGCGGGAC
Molecule: ribosomal RNA, 255 nt
Filed under: Salinimicrobium oceani
Lineage: Bacteria; Pseudomonadati; Bacteroidota; Flavobacteriia; Flavobacteriales; Flavobacteriaceae
Description: Salinimicrobium sp. CDJ15-91 partial 23S ribosomal RNA
Rfam family: Bacterial large subunit ribosomal RNA
Source: RNAcentral